UGUUAAUUCACUACAUCACACAUAAAAAAGCAGAUCUAGGUCUAAGGUUUACCUAACAAAUUUCUUAAUACACCUUUUUUAUUGAGAUAAAAAUGUAACAUUUAUUUUUUCUCCCCAGGUAGUUGCUUUCUAAAUCCUCUAUGAUUAUAGAAGUAAAACGGAAGGAAGUAGAUAUAGGAAAAGGAAGAGAGAGAGAAAGGAAAGGAGGGAAAGGACCUUUUACUUUGAUUCUUAAAGCCGCAAAUAGAAGCUCAGAGGAAAGAGUCUUCAUGUGUAACAUUUUGUGCCAGGAAGAUAUAGCAGUCAUUCACUGAAACUAGAGAAGCCUUUAUAAUUUUAAGUUUUAUAUGAAGCUUGAAGGAAUUUCAUUUUAGUUUGAAAAUGAUCAAUUUUUUAGUCCCUGGCCAUUGAAGGACCAGGUGUUGAGAUGGUCAAUCAGGACAAUGAGCCAAACUUAAAGUAACAAUCAAGCCUUUAUUCACUGACUGUGGCAUAGCAAUCAAGAGGCAAACAUUGGCACUGGCUCACCAGCAUUUCUUUUUUUCUCUGUGAAACAGCAGCAGGUAAGGGUCAGAUGGAUCAAUGUGAACAAAGAGGUGGUAAGGGGAUGGUGGUUGGGGAGAGUUGUCUUACUGCCCAAGAGAUCUGAAUAAAAGGAUCCUGCCUUUUUUAUGGACCAGUGGUCCAGGGAUGGAGAGGAGGAGUGGAAAAGCACUGAGUUAAAGUGGAGAAAAAUACCUCAGCCAAGGCCCCCAGAGCAGAGAUUUUGAAUGAAGCCACUUAGGCUAGAAUGCAGAUAUGUACAUGAGCAUGGCUGACCUGGGAAAGUGGGAGUGGCUUGAGUCCUUGACUGAAACUCCUUUCAGAAAAUUUCAGUGCAUCAAGACUUGUGUAGGAUGGGCAAUUUCCUUCCAUGAGUCCUACCAGGCAAGACUUUAUGGUUACCUAUAAUUGAGCUGGAAAUAUCACAUGUAGUGAUAUUAGCGUGGAACCACAAUGAACUGAUUGACCAUCAUCCCUCAGCUCUU
RNAcentral lists this long non-coding RNA (1028 nucleotides) under Macaca mulatta (Rhesus monkey). Its description in RNAcentral is "lncRNA (ENSMMUG00000056987.1)". The record is from RNAcentral. Lineage: Eukaryota; Metazoa; Chordata; Mammalia; Primates; Cercopithecidae.